AACUAAGUUACCGAGCCCGUAAAGCUCUCGUCUAGCAUACAAGAGUCCUGGGUUCAAAUCCCAGCCGAGCUC
RNAcentral lists this transfer RNA (72 nucleotides) under Aedes aegypti (yellow fever mosquito). RNAcentral's name for it is "partial tRNA-OTHER". Lineage: Eukaryota; Metazoa; Arthropoda; Insecta; Diptera; Culicidae. The record is from RNAcentral.